This is a non-coding RNA of Pelobates cultripes (western spadefoot toad), 228 nucleotides long. The record is from the annotation of a GenBank genome assembly. Lineage: Eukaryota; Metazoa; Chordata; Amphibia; Anura; Pelobatidae.
GAAAUGUUGUGUAAUGAUAUUGAUGUUACAAAGUUUUGGAGUCCAGUAGCCAGAUCAGCAAUGUUUUCUGCCAGAGGUAGCCACUCGUUACCCAGGUGGUUGAGCCCCUGAGCCUUGAGUGGCCUUCUGGUCUUAAGCAGAGAUGGGAGACUGGAACAGAAAGAUGAUAAUCGUAGUGAGGCAAGCCGAGGUCAGUGGGAAGGAGAAGCAGCAAAGUCAAAACAGUCC